UACGUAGGGUGCGAGCGUUAAUCGGAAUUACUGGGCGUAAAGCGUGCGCAGGCGGUUCGUUGUGUCGGUGGUGAAAUCCCCGGGCUUAACCUGGGAAUGGCCAUGGAAACUGGCGGACUGGAGUGUGGCAGAGGGGGGUGGAAUUCCGCGUGUAGCAGUGAAAUGCGUAGAGAUGCGGAGGAACACCGAUGGCGAAGGCAGCCCCCUGGGCCAACACUGACGCUCAGGCACGAAAGCGUGGGGAGCAAACAGG
RNAcentral lists this ribosomal RNA (253 nucleotides) under uncultured bacterium. RNAcentral's name for it is "partial 16S ribosomal RNA". It matches the Rfam family "Bacterial small subunit ribosomal RNA", at positions 524 to 776 of the family's 1533-position model. The record is from RNAcentral.